UACAGAGGUCUCAAGCGUUGUUCGGAUUCAUUGGGCGUAAAGGGUGCGUAGGCGGGCUAGUAAGUCUGUUGUGAAAUCUCCGGGCUUAACCCGGAAAUUGCGGUGGAUACUAUUAGUCUUGAAUACUGUGGAGGUUAGCGGAAUAUGUCAUGUAGCGGUGAAAUGCAUAGAUAUGACAUAGAACACCAAUUGCGAAGGCAGCUGGCUACACAGAUAUUGACGCUGAGGCACGAAAGCGUGGGGAUCAAACAGG
RNAcentral lists this ribosomal RNA (253 nucleotides) under uncultured bacterium. Its description in RNAcentral is "partial 16S ribosomal RNA". It matches the Rfam family "Bacterial small subunit ribosomal RNA", at positions 524 to 776 of the family's 1533-position model. The record is from RNAcentral.